This 429-nucleotide ribosomal RNA is filed under the name uncultured bacterium. RNAcentral describes it as "bacterial SSU rRNA". It matches the Rfam family "Bacterial small subunit ribosomal RNA", at positions 355 to 776 of the family's 1533-position model. The record is from RNAcentral.
UGGGGAAUAUUGGACAAUGGGCGAAAGCCUGAUCCAGCAAUACCGCGUGUGUGACGAAGGCCUUCGGGUUGUAAAGCACUUUCAGUAGGGAAGAAAUGAACAAAAUUAAUACCUUUGUUCUAUGACGUUAUCUACAGAAGAAGCACCGGCUAACUCUGUGCCAGCAGCCGCGGUAAGACAGAGGGUGCGAGCGUUAAUCGGAAUUAUUGGGCGUAAAGCGUGCGUAGGCGGUUGAUUAAGUCAGAUGUGAAAGCCCCGAGCUUAACUUGGGAACUGCAUUUGAUACUGAUCAUCUAGAGUAUGGUAGAGGGUAGUGGAAUUUCCGGUGUAGCGGUGAAAUGCAUAGAUACCGGAAGGAACAUCAGUGGCGAAGGCGGCUACCUGGACCAAUACUGACGCUGAGGUACGAAAGCGUGGGUAGCAAACAGG